RNAcentral lists this transfer RNA (66 nucleotides) under Chloroflexota bacterium. Its description in RNAcentral is "Chloroflexi bacterium tRNA-His". It matches the Rfam family "tRNA". Rfam says of the family: Transfer RNA (tRNA) molecules are approximately 80 nucleotides in length. Lineage: Bacteria; Bacillati; Chloroflexota. The record is from RNAcentral.
GUGGCUGUAGCUCAAUCGGCAGAGCAUCGCACUGUGGAUGCGAGGGUUGUAGACCCAUCAGCCACC